RNAcentral lists this small RNA (473 nucleotides) under Pongo abelii (Sumatran orangutan). RNAcentral describes it as "retained intron". Lineage: Eukaryota; Metazoa; Chordata; Mammalia; Primates; Hominidae. The record is from RNAcentral.
GCGAGCUGCCUGUCUCGCCGUGGCAGGUAGCCGAGCCGUCGAGCAAGAAUCUGUGGGAGCAGAUCUGCGAGGAGUAUGAAGCUGAGCAGCCUCCCUUUCCAGAAGGAUAUAAAGUCAAACAGGAGCCUGUGAUUACUGUUGCGCCAGUAGAGGAAAUGCUUUUUCAUGGCUUCGGUGCAGAGCACUAUUUUCCGGUUUCCCAUUUCACCAUGAUCUCACAUACACCCUGUCCUCAAGAUAAAUCGGAAACAGUCAACCCAAAAACAUGUGAGUAAGAGAGACGCCAUCUUUUAUAAUUUGGGGCUUUUAGCAUUGCAGAACCACAGGGUGGGUAUGGAGGCAGACAGAUGGACCUCAGGGAGACCACAUACAUAAGAAAGAAUGUGUUCUUGUUUUAUUUUUAAGAGAAAUGUCCUUUAUUUCACUGAUUUAUCUUUAAGGUUAAAAAUGUAAUAAAGAUAAUAAGUAACAAA